This is a long non-coding RNA of Psammomys obesus (fat sand rat), 991 nucleotides long. RefSeq lists it as uncharacterized. The transcript has 4 exons. The record is from RefSeq and is a predicted model, not a curated record. Lineage: Eukaryota; Metazoa; Chordata; Mammalia; Rodentia; Muridae.
GCAGUCGGCCCGCCUCGUUCGAGUUUGCGCGCGGCGCGGACACUGGGGACGAGGCUUCCCGGCUGCGAGGCAGCUUGAGGUUGAGGACGCGAAGACGGCUGGGCCGCACACCUGUCCGUCCUCAGCUGGCCAUGGCCCUGCUCUGGACGGGUGCCCUUUGAGGCCAGCCCUCACCUCUGAAAAUGAGUGCAUGGGUGUUUUACCUGCAUGUCUGCAUCAUGUGCUUCGCAGGGCCUGUGGAGGCCAGAAAGAUGAUGUUGGAUCCCCGGAAUUGGACUUACAGACGCUUGUGAGACAACACGUACUUCUAGCCUUGACGUGGUCAUGGGAUGUUCCAAGGGGGAUAUGGCCAAGGUCAGCAGAAGUCAGAAAGCAAGGAGAACACAAGCUGCCUCAGACACAGCCGCCUUAGGGCUGACAACCACAGCCCAGGAGGUCCCCAGACACUGCAGCCACGUCUCCUCAGAAGCUCUGGCUCUGUCAUCAGUCCAGCCUUGCCACUUCUGUUCCUGGACAACCGCAAACCUUUCACCAUGGCCUCUAAGAAAGCCUUGGGUCAGUCUGGCUCCCAACACAGGGCUGUUGUUUGCCUCAAGCUAAGGAUCACCGGAUGGGUGAGUUCUGCCUGUGGCAGUUUCCAUAUCAGGUUCAUACCACUUUCUGAAAGAACACACAGGAAACCAGGCACCUGGCAAAGGAACUAGACCGGUGAGAGGAGAGCCACCAAUUUCCACCAAUCCCAUUGGGGCCCCACUGCCAAUAAAAGAUGAAAACAAAUGCAGGACCACAUUCAGGGAUUCCAGAAGCUUCGCCUCUGGUGUCUGAAUAGCCAUAAGGCAGCGUUGGUGCUCUCAGAGGAGGGCAGGGCUUCUGCGACCAACCAUCUCAGGUUGCCUUCAUUGCUACAGUUCACCCUUGGUUCGUGUCCACUCCUCUGACCCAAGGGCUGGAGCAAUACUUGCUGCAGAUCCAAGAGGACCUGAAUCUGAAU